GACGAACGCUGGCGGCGUGCUUAACACAUGCAAGUCGAACGGAAAGGCCUCUUUCGGGGGGUACUCGAGUGGCGAACGGGUGAGUAACACGUGAGUAACCUGCCCUUGACUUUGGGAUAACUUCAGGAAACUGGGGCUAAUACCGGAUAGGAGCUCCUGCUGCAUGGUGGGGGUUGGAAAGUUUCGGCGGUUGGGGAUGGACUCGCGGCUUAUCAGCUUGUUGGUGGGGUAGUGGCUUACCAAGGCUUUGACGGGUAGCCGGCCUGAGAGGGUGACCGGCACAGGUGGGGAUGGGAGCGGGCCCAGACCCCGCCGGGGGGAAGGGGGGGGGAUAUUUGAAAAAGGGGGGGAAGCCAUAGGCAACACCCGCGGGGGGGGGAGGGGGGCCUGGGGGUUGGAACCGGUUUUGCCCCAGGGCAAAACUUGGGGGGAGGGUGGGGGGUAAAGAACAACGGGCGAACGCGGUG
This 467-nucleotide ribosomal RNA is filed under the name uncultured bacterium. Its description in RNAcentral is "partial 16S ribosomal RNA". It matches the Rfam family "Bacterial small subunit ribosomal RNA", at positions 28 to 507 of the family's 1533-position model. The record is from RNAcentral.